Molecule: non-coding RNA, 19 nt
Filed under: Arabidopsis thaliana (thale cress)
Lineage: Eukaryota; Viridiplantae; Streptophyta; Magnoliopsida; Brassicales; Brassicaceae
Source: RNAcentral
CAUUGUUUGAGGCGCCAUU